UUUAUCUAUGAGUCUUGACCAAAUCAUGUGCCAGCCGUCGCGGUAAGACAUGGAAGACAAGUGUUAUUCAUAUUGAAUGGGUUUAAAGGGUACUCAGACAGUUAAUUAAGCCUACGUAAGGGACUGAUUAUACUAGAGUUUAAUGUAAGAAGGCUAGAACGGUAUGUGGAGAGAUAAAAUAUAUUGAUACAUGCUAAAAUCUGACAAGGGCGAAGGCAAUCUUCUAUGUAAAAACUGACGUUAAAGGACGAAGGCUAUAUAAAAUUAAUAGGAUUAGAUACCCUAGUAUUCGUAGCAGUAAAUGAUGAGUGUCAUAGGUAAGUGAAAUAAUUUACUUAUAAAUGAAAGUGUAAGCAUUCCACCUUAAGAGUAAAACGGCAACGUAGGAACUGAAAUCAUUAGACCGUUUCUGAAACCAGUAGUGAAGUAUGUUAGUUAAAUUGAUGAUCCACAAAGAACCUUACCACAAUUUGAAUGUUAAUUCACAGGAGUUGCACGGCUGUCUUCAGUUGAUAUCGUGAGAUUUUGGUUAGCUCCAUUUAAUCAACGUAAACCCUUACUUUAAUUUAUACAUAAAGUAGUUCUCCAUUAUAUUGG
RNAcentral lists this ribosomal RNA (597 nucleotides) under Porina epiphylla. RNAcentral describes it as "SSU rRNA". It matches the Rfam family "Bacterial small subunit ribosomal RNA", at positions 479 to 1165 of the family's 1533-position model. Lineage: Eukaryota; Fungi; Ascomycota; Lecanoromycetes; Ostropales; Porinaceae. The record is from RNAcentral.